Molecule: non-coding RNA, 58 nt
Organism: Salmo salar (Atlantic salmon)
Lineage: Eukaryota; Metazoa; Chordata; Actinopteri; Salmoniformes; Salmonidae
Source: Rfam
UGGCUCAGUUGGUAGAGCAUGGUGUUUGCAACGCCAGGGUUGUGGGUUCGAUUCCUAC